UACGUAGGGUGCGAGCGUUAAUCGGAAUUACUGGGCGCAAAGCGUGCGCAGGCGGCGCGUUAAGUCAGACGUGAAAUCCCCAGGCUCAACUUGGGAACUGCGUCUGAUACUGGAUGGCUUGAAUUCGGGAGAGGGAUGCAGAAUUCCAGGUGUAGCGGUGAAAUGCGUAGAUAUCAGGAGGAACACCGGUGGCGAAGGCGGUUCUCUGGGCAUGUCCUGACGCUGAGGAGCGAAAGUGUGGGGAGCGAACAGG
RNAcentral lists this ribosomal RNA (253 nucleotides) under uncultured bacterium. Its description in RNAcentral is "partial 16S ribosomal RNA". It matches the Rfam family "Bacterial small subunit ribosomal RNA", at positions 524 to 776 of the family's 1533-position model. The record is from RNAcentral.